Molecule: long non-coding RNA, 239 nt
Filed under: Pelobates cultripes (western spadefoot toad)
Lineage: Eukaryota; Metazoa; Chordata; Amphibia; Anura; Pelobatidae
Source: RNAcentral
GCACUAUAAAAAUAGGCCAAAAUGACGUCAAAAUAGCCACCAGGAAAAGUUAACUCUUUCCUGGAUAGGUAUGUUUAGUGGGACAAGACUGCCCUCUGUAGACCAAAUAACUAAAUUGCGAUCUGGAAGAUAACCACACCUCUAGUGCUUCUAUUGGGUUAUCAACUGAUGACGUACAGAGAGUCUGGCCCUUUAAAAGUUAGGACAAAGGGAAGAUAGGAAGGUAUGCGAAGGUAUGC